This is a long non-coding RNA of Magnolia sinica, 405 nucleotides long. RefSeq lists it as uncharacterized. The transcript is spliced from 2 exons. The record is from RefSeq and is a predicted model, not a curated record. NCBI's taxonomy places the organism in Eukaryota, Viridiplantae, Streptophyta, Magnoliopsida, Magnoliales, Magnoliaceae.
CAUUGACCAGCAGAUUAGAAGCCUGGUUCUGUAGGGUUUUUGGCACAUCUUCCAUCUAUGGCAGAGCUUAUCAAAUUAAAGUUUGUAUCUCACAAUUGCUGGCCAUACUUGUUUUACUUACAAAUUUGAUUUAGGAAAUACUGUGAUGACCACUAGACAGAUGUGGAGGUGGAAUGAUGAUUUGACGGUGAUGAGAUGUUUGGAUGAUAUUUUCUAGCUUAAGGAUAUUUGUAUCUUUUGCAACCAAUCGUUAGAUAUGGUACAAUGUGUUAUAUUCAUUAUGAUACAUUUUGUACUUCAAAUUACACAAACAAUUUAUGUAAUGUUUUAUUUGUUUCCUGUAUUCAUGUUUGUAUGUAAUGUGUGUGCUAGUUGAAAAAUUGAAAGUGGAAGCAAUUUCUUUUA